Molecule: ribosomal RNA, 468 nt
Filed under: uncultured bacterium
Lineage: Bacteria
Description: partial 16S ribosomal RNA
Rfam family: Bacterial small subunit ribosomal RNA
Source: RNAcentral
GACGAACGCUGGCGGCGUGCUUAACACAUGCAAGUCGAACGGAAAGGCCCUGCUUUUGUGGGGUGCUCGAGUGGCGAACGGGUGAGUAACACGUGAGUAACCUGCCCUUGACUUUGGGAUAACUUCAGGAAACUGGGGCUAAUACCGGAUAGGAGCUCCUGCUGCAUGGUGGGGGUUGGAAAGUUUCGGCGGUUGGGGAUGGACUCGCGGCUUAUCAGCUUGUUGGUGGGGUAGUGGCUUACCAAGGCUUUGACGGGUAGCCGGCCUGAGAGGGUGACCGGCCACAUUGGGACUGAGAUACGGCCCAGACUCCUACGGGAGGCAGCAGUGGGGAAUAUUGCACAAUGGGAGGAAGCCUGAUGCAGCAACGCCGAGUGCGGGAUGACGGCCUGCGGGUUGUAACCCGCUUUCGCCUGUGACGAAGAGUGAGUGACGGUAAUGGGUAAAGAAGCACCGGCUAACUACGUG